Long non-coding RNA from Aplysia californica (California sea hare), 538 nucleotides. RefSeq lists it as uncharacterized. The transcript has 2 exons. NCBI's taxonomy places the organism in Eukaryota, Metazoa, Mollusca, Gastropoda, Aplysiida, Aplysiidae. The record is from RefSeq and is a predicted model, not a curated record.
CGGACGUCGGGGGGUUAUUGUGGCAUGCACUGGCGUCUGUGCUACACAGUGCCGCACAAGUGCAUUGGUCAUCUCUCGCCAGCACUGACCGCUUGACCAGCAGCAGAAGGGCGGAUUCGAGAGCCAGUGAGAGAGUGGAUGAUUGGGCGGCGCCAUUGGUACGUUUGACUUCUUUUCUGUCCGUCUUUUGUUUUUGUUAUUAUAGUGUUGCAAUUUUACAGGCAUUAAGCCGUCGUUAUCUCGUCGAUGUGCAUCUUUUUACUCAAACUAAGACUUCGCAAAAGACCCCUACCCGUCUUGCCAACAAAAGUGCCCCUGAAACAAAACAAAAAAGAAAAAAAAAGAAGAAAAACACUCCCCUCCCCCACAACAAAAUACAGCAGUUAACAAUCCCAUAAACAACAGGACGCAUUAGCUAAAGCGUAUCUCGAACUUUGACUCAGCCCGUGAAAAUUUACAUAGAAAUCGAGAACCAGUUCUUAGUCAGUCAAUCUUGUUCAGGGCAAACUUGACCUUGUGUGGGUGUCACGUGACGAAA